Lutra lutra (Eurasian river otter) is the source of this 1924-nucleotide long non-coding RNA. RefSeq lists it as uncharacterized. The record is from RefSeq and is a predicted model, not a curated record. The transcript has 3 exons. Lineage: Eukaryota; Metazoa; Chordata; Mammalia; Carnivora; Mustelidae.
CCACCUCUGUCCGGCUCCCCGCCAGCCCCCGCGCGGGAUCGUUGGCUAGCCCCGCCAGGCGCCCGCCCCUCGUACCGGGAGCGGGCGGUGGCCGUGGGGCGCCCCCUGCCGGCGCACGGCUGUCGUGCCCCGCUGUCCUCAGCUUCGCCCUGGCCGCCAUGGGACUGUGCGGUCGCCCCAGGUUUCUUCUAGGGCCCGCUCCUUUGCGGGAACCCAUAGACUUCCCCGCCCUCGGCAAUGUCCUGCCGCUUGACCCUGCUAUUUUUCGAGGGCAGGGGAGCUUUGAGUUGGUUGCUUUACCUUCCCAGAACUUCAAGAUGGACCUCCAUCUCCCUGAAAGUCUGGGUCUGCAUACGUGAGAUAGCUCACUAGAGGGCCAGUGUUUUGAGAUUGCCUGUGGUCCACACGGAGUCACCAGAUACGGGUUAACAUUACCUGGAGGCAGAAUGGGGAGGCAACAGUGAGGCCAGCUGCACGAAUUUGGAAACAGGGAGCUAAGUGCUCUCUGAGCUAGAAAAUCUGAGCUAGAAAAUGAGCAUAAAAAGCACCAGGUUACUUGAAGGAGGCAGAAAGACUCAGGCCACUGAGACGGACUGAAGCCUGAAUAAAAAUACUAACUCGUUCAAACAACCGCUGAGGAACCACAGAGCCCUGAGGAGUAGCAGGUGUCUACACUGGCUAAGUGCAGCUCAGGUGAGGGACGGGUAGUGAUUUGUGGAAAGAGAUGCGUCUGACUACUCUGACCUCAUUGAACAUUCUAGUCGCGGUCACGUGCUCGCCAAGAGACCCUCUCGCAGCCCUCCUCGGCUUCUCCCAUAGCCUGCCCCACAGGGAGGAUGAAACUUCCUGUCAGAGGGUGACAGUAAUGGCUCCCUUUGGGAGUUGUUUCUCCUCCUUCACCAAAAUAUUUAAAAACACCGACUUCGGAACUAGCUUCCAAUUCCAGCACAGCGUCCCCUCUCUUCAGCGGCCACCGAGGAGCCGCUGAACCAUUUUCAUAAGAGAAUCAUUAUGAAGCUUUCUUCAGAGCUUCCUUCGAGGUAGGUUAGGCCCCGCUGGGUGAGCGUGCAGCUCCAUCCCGUGACUAGCUCGCGUCUGCAAUGCCGCGCCAGGUUCUCGGGCGAGAACUCACUGCUUGCGGUCGGCCAUCUUUCUGCAUGGCGGCGGCGAGGGGACGGUCGCUGCUGUUCCUGCUGAGGAGAAAGUGGACGCAAAGAAGAAGAAUCUGAGGAGUCUCGUGAUGACGUGCACUUUGGUCUGUCUGACUAACACCCCCUUGCCCCGGCCCUGUACACUGUUCAGUAAAAACUGAAGUCUGAAAGAAAAAGAAAGAAAGAAAAAAGGAAAAAGGAAAGGGGAAAGGAAAGGAAAAGUUCUGGCUCUGCAGCUUUCAAACUGGUGGGUGACCUUGGGCCUGUGACUGGACCUUCUUGUGCCUCCGUUUCCUCAUCCGUAAAAUGGAGACAUGAAGGGUACGUGCCUCCUACUAGUGAGGACUCGUGAGUCCAGCCUGUGAGAACUCGCAGCGCCGGGCAAGCAGUUGGCGCUGUGUCUGCUGUGGUGCUCGUGGAAGAUGACUCACUUGGCACCCUGGCUCAUCCAGCUCGUGCUCUGGGGGCCUAGACUCUGAGACGCUGGCGCCCCUGAGGCACUGUCCUACUCUCUCCGUGCUGGUAGGGUCAGUUUCCUGAGCCUGCACCUGGAGAGGAAGACAUUCAGCUAUGGUGACUUCUCCUAAGAGGUUCUGAGCAAGGACAGCUAAGGAUCCAGAUCACCCAAAAGUGCCAAUUAAGGGAACUUGACUGUAUAUCCAGAUGACAAAAGUGCUACUAAUCAUCCAGAAGUUUCUCUUCAGUGUCUACUUUGUAAGAAGUGGCUGGUGAAUUCAUCUGUACCAGGCGCUGGUAUUUUCAUAACUUCAGCU